GGACGUCACCCCCGCUCCUUUCAUUUAAUAAGCCUCAGGGACACGUGGAACGCCGGUAUAACCUCAGCCUCCCCAGAUCCCUAUCCUGCCAAUACGAGAUCAGAAAUAUCCGACCUCGGAUCAUGCCGCGUGUUUAUUUUGAAGCGCGAAACGGCAUACCUAUUUAUAAGGGGGGCCUCGACCACGAGAUCGAGGCGCCGCCCCAUCGGGCCCAGGGACCCUCAUAAUGAGUACGCCGUACGACGCAAUCUCGGAGAUCCAAAGGGCGCAAUCCCCGUUGUAGCUGCUUCGGGAUGCGUAAGGACGCAGACCCCGUUAUAAGUUCGCCGUCUAAAGCGACCUCGAAGUGCCAAAGGACGCAGACCCCGUUAUAAGUUCGCCGUCUAAAGCGACCUCGAAGUGCCAAAGGAUGCAGACCCCGUUAUAAGUUCGCCGUCUAAAGCGACCUCGAAGUGCCAAAGGGCGCAGACUCCGCUAUAAAAGCUCCAAGACGCGUAAGGGUGCGGACGUGAUCCCCUUCGACCUCAAUAACCACAAUGACAAUUUCUACUUCCCGCGUCCGAGCUCGCAAGUUGCUCGAACUCGGAAGUCGGGGGGUAGUGUUGGGGGAAUACGGUUUUCCCCCAGCAAUAUUGUAACCCCGCCCCUAAGAAGCUGCAUAGCCGCCGACCUUGGACGACUGAGGUCGGCGUCCGACCUCAGAACCUCCGACCUGGAGAAUUUCCGAUCCCAGAGGUCUGUCCUUGUCGACUACCUACUACGGUCGUACCCCUCCGAGGUCCGGCCGAGGGCCAUAUCCUGCCAUUGUCCCAGCAUUUAUUGCGCAUGACCUCUGCAAACCUCCGGUUCACUCAACAAUUAAUGCGAAUCUCCGGCCCACUCAACAAUUAA
RNAcentral lists this long non-coding RNA (891 nucleotides) under Phoenix dactylifera (date palm). Its description in RNAcentral is "long non-coding RNA (PDAC_LNC017105)". Lineage: Eukaryota; Viridiplantae; Streptophyta; Magnoliopsida; Arecales; Arecaceae. The record is from RNAcentral.